This is a long non-coding RNA of Galeopterus variegatus (Sunda flying lemur), 266 nucleotides long. RefSeq lists it as uncharacterized. The record is from RefSeq and is a predicted model, not a curated record. The transcript has 4 exons. NCBI's taxonomy places the organism in Eukaryota, Metazoa, Chordata, Mammalia, Dermoptera, Cynocephalidae.
CCUGCAGGAGGAAGAGAAUGGAGGCCGAGGAGGAGGACCCUCCCCCCGGCACCGCCUGGAGCCCAUGGACACCAUCUUCGUCAAGAAUGUGAAGGAUGAUGGCCCUGCCCACAGAGCGGGGCUUCGCACAGGAGACCGGCUGGUGAAGGUGAACGGGGAGAGCGUCAUUGGGAAGACCUACUCCCAGGUCAUAGCUCUGAUCCAAAAUAGUGAUGACACUCUGGAGCUCUCCAUCAUGCCCAAGGAUGAGGACAUCCUCCAGCUGG